RNAcentral lists this ribosomal RNA (730 nucleotides) under uncultured bacterium. RNAcentral's name for it is "bacterial SSU rRNA". It matches the Rfam family "Bacterial small subunit ribosomal RNA", at positions 57 to 769 of the family's 1533-position model. The record is from RNAcentral.
GCAAGUUGAGCGCUGAAGGUUGGUACUUGUACCGACUGGAUGAGCAGCCCAUUGUGUGAGUAACGCGUGGGGAAUCUGCCUUUGAGCGGGGGACUUCAUUUGGAAACGAAUGCUAAUACCGCAUAAAAACUUUAAACACAAGUUUUAAGUUUGAAAGAUGCAAUUGCAUCACUCAAAGAUGAUCCCGCGUUGUAUUAGCUAGUUGGGGAGGGAAAGGCUCACCAAGGCGAUGAUACAUAGCCGACCUGAGAGGGUGAUCGGCCACAUUGGGACUGAGACACGGCCCAAACUCCUACGGGAGGCAGCAGUAGGGAAUCUUCGGCAAUGGACGAAAGUCUGACCGAGCAACGCCGCGUGAGUGAAGAAGGUUUUCGGAUCGUAAAACUCUGUUGGUAGAGAAGAACGUUGGUGAGAGUGGAAAGCUCAUCAAGUGACGGUAACUACCCAGAAAGGGACGGCUAACUACGUGCCAGCAGCCGCGGUAAUACGUAGGUCCCGAGCGUUGUCCGGAUUUAUUGGGCGUAAAGCGAGCGCAGGUGGUUUAUUAAGUCUGGUGUAAAAGGCAGUGGCUCAACCAUUGUAUGCAUUGGAAACUGGUAGACUUGAGUGCAGGGGAGGAGAGUGGAAUUCCAUGUGUAGCGGUGAAAUGCGUAGAUAUAUGGAGGAACACCGGUGGCGAAAGCGGCUCUCUGGCCUGUAACUGACACUGAGGCUCGAAAGCGUGGGGGAG